UAUUUGCAUUGCGUGAGGGAUAGCAGCGGCAUCCCUCCAACUUGAUUGGAGGAUAUAGCGGAUAGCCCGGUCCCGU
This 76-nucleotide small RNA is filed under the name Marinirhabdus gelatinilytica. Its description in RNAcentral is "Flavo-1 RNA". It matches the Rfam family "Flavo-1 RNA". Lineage: Bacteria; Pseudomonadati; Bacteroidota; Flavobacteriia; Flavobacteriales; Flavobacteriaceae. The record is from RNAcentral.